GAAAGCAGCAGGCGCGAAAAUUACCCACUCUCAGUUCGAGGAGGUAGUGACGAGAAAUGACAAGGUUUAGUCCUUCGGGGCUGAACCAUUGGAAUGGUUUGAUUUUAAAAUCAUUAAAGAGUAUCAAUGAGAGGGCAAGUCUGGUGCCAGCAGCCGCGGUAAUUCCAGCUCUCAUACUGCAUUGAAUUGUUGUUGCGGUUAAAAAGCUCGUAGUUGGAUCUCUACACAAUAGGAUGGUUCACUCUUUGAGUUGAAACUAUUACUAAGUGUUAUUUAUCAGUUUUUUUAUUAUCUUCGGGUAAUAAAUGACUGAUGAGUUUACUUUGAAUAAAUCAGAGUGCUCAAAACAGGCGUAAGCUUGUAUGGUUUUGCAUGGAAUAAUAGAACAUGACUAUGGUUCAUGUUUUAUUGGUUUUACUUACCAUAGUAAUGAUUAAAAGGAACAAACGGGGGCAUCCGUAUCGCAGGGCGAGAGGUGAAAUUCGUGGACCCUUGCGAGACGAACUACAGCGAAAGCAUUUGCCAAGAAUGUUUUCAUUAAUCAAGAACGAAAGUCAGAGGAUCGAAGGCGAUCAGAUACCGCCCUAGUUCUGACCGUAAACUAUGCCAUCUAGCGAGUUUCGGGUGGAUAUUUUAUAUUUGCCCUUGAAACGAGCUUCCCGGAAACGAAAGUCUUUCGGUUCCGGGGGAAGU
Molecule: ribosomal RNA, 693 nt
Filed under: Rhabditis sp. OK-2011
Lineage: Eukaryota; Metazoa; Nematoda; Chromadorea; Rhabditida; Rhabditidae
Description: bacterial SSU rRNA
Rfam family: Eukaryotic small subunit ribosomal RNA
Source: RNAcentral